Molecule: long non-coding RNA, 780 nt
Filed under: Lathyrus oleraceus (garden pea)
Lineage: Eukaryota; Viridiplantae; Streptophyta; Magnoliopsida; Fabales; Fabaceae
Description: Pisum sativum (pea) long non-coding RNA (PSAT_LNC003058)
Source: RNAcentral
CAACGAUGACGUACUUUACGGAAUUGACGGUAUUGAUAUUAACUAUGAAAAGAUCAGUUCCAGUAUCAGUGACUUUUCCAACUGUAUAGGAGAGGUGAUAAAACAACUCAAGGUUGAUCCAGAUGUUUCCAAAUUCAUGAAAGUGGUGUCCAUUGCUCCAACAGAGGGUUCCCAAUCCUACUACCUCAAACUUUAUCGCGACAACAAAGGCUAUAUUGACUGGAUUGACUACAAGUUCUACAAUCAGUAUUUUAACACAGUGGAGGAUUUUGAAAAGCUCUUUAAAAUUCUAGUUACUGAAUAUGGUACUGCGUUAGAUAAAUUCUUGGUAGGAGUCAGCACCUAUGAAGCUAUUAAAUCUAAAACCAUUAUUGAGGGAUGCGAAUACCUCCUUAACCGUAGAUCACUUGUUGGAGUUUUUGUUUGGGAUGCUAAGCCCUCUGCCCCCGCAUAUACACCUGAGCGAGAGAUUCAAAAACUCCUUGCUAAAAAGUGAUUACUUACUAGCAAGAAUGGAUGGACCAUUAAACAAAAAUAAAGUGCCGUCAUACAUACUAUAAUUAAUAGCAACGUCUUAUGCGUCAUGCUAUGUAUAGUAUGUUACAUAUUCUAAAUAAGACCUAUCAUCCAUCGUGUCUGCUCUUUUUACUGCUUGUGUCUUUGUAUUCUGCACCUUUUUAUCUGUUUCCUUUAAGUAUUAUGUUAUCUUGUGAUUUGUGAGAUUUUAAUUGCUUCUGUUUCUGUUGUAUGUACCAUGAAUUAUCUGUAAUAUCUUGCUAU